UACGGAGGGUGCAAGCGUUAAUCGGAAUUACUGGGCGUAGAGCGCGCGUAGGUGGCUUGAUAAGCCGGUUGUGAAAGCCCCGGGCUCAACCUGGGAACGGCAUCCGGAACUGUCAAGCUAGAGUGCAGGAGAGGAAGGUAGAAUUCCUGGUGUAGGGGUGAAAUCCGUAGAGAUCAGGAGGAACACCGGUGGCGAAGGCGACGAGCUGGAUUAGUACUGACACUGAGGUGCGAAAGCGUGGGGAGCAAACAGG
Molecule: unclassified non-coding RNA, 253 nt
Filed under: uncultured Halomonadaceae bacterium
Lineage: Bacteria; Pseudomonadati; Pseudomonadota; Gammaproteobacteria; Oceanospirillales; Halomonadaceae
Description: contains 16S-23S intergenic spacer region
Rfam family: Bacterial small subunit ribosomal RNA
Source: RNAcentral